RNAcentral lists this ribosomal RNA (253 nucleotides) under uncultured bacterium. RNAcentral's name for it is "partial 16S ribosomal RNA". It matches the Rfam family "Bacterial small subunit ribosomal RNA", at positions 524 to 776 of the family's 1533-position model. The record is from RNAcentral.
UACGAAGGGGGCUAGCGUUGCUCGGAAUCACUGGGCGUAAAGCGCACGUAGGCGGAUUCUUAAGUCAGGGGUGAAAUCCUGGAGCUCAACUCCAGAACUGCCUUUGAUACUGAGGGUCUUGAGUUCGGGAGAGGUGAGUGGAACUGCGAGUGUAGAGGUGAAAUUCGUAGAUAUUCGCAAGAACACCAGUGGCGAAGGCGGCUCACUGGCCCGAUACUGACGCUGAGGCACGAAAGCGUGGGGAGCAAACAGG